This 4823-nucleotide long non-coding RNA is filed under the name Homo sapiens (human). RNAcentral describes it as "HSALNT0039147". The record is from RNAcentral. Lineage: Eukaryota; Metazoa; Chordata; Mammalia; Primates; Hominidae.
ACUGCAGAGUAGUCUUCAUAGUCACGAUGCGCUGUGCUGAGGCUGCUGCUUAGAAAGGUGGGGCUUCUUCUCCCUGCUUACCCACGUGUCUGGCUGAUCUCUCAGCUCAGCUGCAGGAGCUUGUUGGUCCUGAAGAGUGGUCUGUCUUUAUUUGCUGAUACUUAAACUUUCCUUCUUGAAAACUGAAUCACUGCUAUUUGGUGCACAUUUUCACCCAGUCUGAGUGCCACCUUACAUCUUUCAUUCUGCAUCUUGAGAAUUCUGUUUUACAGUCAGAGGUGACAACUAGAUCAGAGCAUUGACUGCUCCCAAUUUCGCUUUUACAAAAGAGAGCAAAGGAAGUGGUGAUGUUAGGUUUGGGGGUGAUGAUAAAGUCAGAGAGGGGAACUCCCACUGAAGCCCACAUUAUGAAAAGAGCUGAACCAACUUGUACUCUUGAUCUCCCCUUAAAAGCUGGUUUUGUACCUGAAUGGAGAGAAGUGCAGAUAUUAGAGACCUGGCUGAUGUCUGGUGCUUCAUUGCCCUGAAUAGACAGAAAAAUGCAGACCCUUGGGAAGCAAAGUGCUUGACAGAGCUGAAAGUGAACAGCAGAGGCUGGGAGGAAGCAGGACCAAACAAAUCCAGAAAUCCUCCAAGGCUGUAGCCCUAGGCCCAGCAGGUGGUGGUCAGGACAAAGUAGGAGCAUGUACAGUGUUGAGAUCAGAGUCUUGGGAAAGCACCUGUUACAGGUCAGAGUGAAGGAUGAUCCCAGAAACAAGUCAGACAAGAGGCAGGUUUGUCCAAUAGAACAUAAAACUGUGACGCUUGAAGAUAAACGUGACCUUGACCAGCCCUGAGCAGGACUCUUUGGUCCAACUGCCCGAAAAACUAUUGUCAAGAAAAUGCCCAGUGACCUCCAAACUCCUGACCUUUCAAUUACCUCAGUGGAUGGACCGAGAGAAAGGUGACUUUUAAUAAAACACAAAUAAUAUCACUAAACCAUCAAAAAUUGAAUCCCAAGACGGUUUCUCACUAAAUUUUAUUUUCCCUGCCUCCCUCAAAGGAACUGUGUAUUGAAGUUCUCCAUCUGCUGAUGAUCUCUUAGGCUUAUCUCGGUGUAGUACAUCCAUUUAGCAAUGCAGAUAAUCAGCAUUUGCAGAAUGGCACUCAGUUUUGCAGCUGAAAAGAUUAGAGUAUACAAUCCACCAUUCAUUCUCAAGGGAAGGAGUCAUCGCAUUGAAGCAGUCUAAUUAUGGCCAUCAGUCCAAAUGGCAUGGUGGCCAAGGAUCAACCCCACCAGCAUAGGAAGUUCCAGGCUCCAAGAAAGCCCAGAGGUUUUGGAAUUAGUGAGCUAAGUGAGUUUGCCUCAUUCCCACACAUCUUGCUCCUCACUUCCUUUACUGUGCCCUGUGGUUGGUGACAUGACUGCAUAUCUGCCACUUCUCACCACUUUGUAUAUUCACCCUGCCUUGUCUUGAUUUCUCAUCUUGAUAAUUCUCCCAUCUUUUGCUCAAGACACUUUUAAACAACUCUCAGAGUAACAUCCUUCUUUGGCCCUAGUGAGCAUUUGAAAUAUGUUCUAUAUUCUAAAGAUCCAGAACAUGUGGGCAUUUUCACGAUCCAGCCUGUCACCAUGUGUUGUUUAGCCACACGUGUUCAAAGCAGAUUUCGAGUUGAGUUAUUUCUAGCUGGGCACAAACAGGGUUCCAUUUUCAUAGGCCUCACUCUUCCCUACUGCAUUACAUGGUUUCUUCUUCACUUCUACUACACUACUCCUUCUUUAAAUUACAGAAGCUUAAACAUAAACAAAAGUAGAACAAAGUGGCAUAAUGAAACACCACAAAUCCAUUACUUUGCUUCAAAAUUUCUUAGUACAAAGCUAUUAUUUUUUAUACCUACAUGCCUGUGCUGUAAAAUAGAUGGACUACUUUGAGCCAAAUCAAAGACAUCUUAUAACUUCAUUGGUAAAUAGCUUGUAUUUAUAAGUAGGUAAGAGACGUUCACUUUAAAAAGCACAAAUCAAAUAUCAAUUAAACAUUCAAAUCUCAAGAAUUCUCACAAUCCCCACCCCACCCACCCUCCUCUAUCUUCUCCAUCCCCAUUACACUAUCACUCUUCAUUUGACUGGUUCAAAUCAGAAGUCAAAUGAAGUUGACACGUUGUGUUUGGUUGAUAUGUCAACAAAGUCACUUAUAAUUUAUCAUUUCUUAUCUUGUAAUUUCUUUUUGAAAAUGUUGAGUUUAUCACAUUUGCCCUUUUCCCAGCAAAAGGCAUCCCAGUGUCUCCUCACUAUGGAGUGGAAGGAGCAAGAGGUUUAUAAUAGCAUCUUGUUAUAUUGAAGUCACAAGCUACCAGCAUCUUCUUAUAUUGAAGUCACAGGCAGGAUUUAAAUUCAUCUUAUAUGUAAGUAUGGUAUCCCAGUGUGUCAGUGAAGAGACAGAUGUUACUGAGAUCACCUUGCCCAGGGACGCAUCUCCUAAUAUCUGCAAGGAUGUCCUGUAUACCAAAAGUAUAGCUUCAUUCCUUCUAAUCCCAAAGACUCUCAAAUAAAGCAAAUCUGCGGGAGGACAAAGAUGAUGGUAAGCACAGAGGAGAAUGGGUAUCAAUCACUUACAUCAUUAGGAAGGAGUGAAAUCUUACAAUGAUCUUUCCCUCUGCUUUCUUCCUUUCAGGUGAUCUAACUUCCUGUGCCAGCAUCAUCAUUUUACAAUAAGAUUUGACUUUGGUUAAAGUUUGAAAUUCUCCUCUGAGGAAACACAUUUCAGGAUGUUAUCUUUCAUGCAUACCUUAUCAUGAAGAAAGGAUCCAACUAUUCAUAAUCUAGAUUUCCACUGAUUUCUUUAACCACAGUUUGAUAACAACCACCAGUGAGGUAGUCAGGUCCAGGUCUUAUGGAACUUUAUUCUGUUCAUUGGGAAUGUGGGUUUUAUUGAUGAGGGAGUGAUAAACUAUUGGAGAAUUCUCAAUUGUGGCGUCAUGUCUUCUGAGUUAUACUUUUACAGGAAUGAUUCUGGUUGCUCUGAAGGAACAGAUAGAUGUGGGGAGACAAGAAUAAAAGCAAGGAGGCUUGUAACUGGCUGUUUUCAUACUAGAGGAACUUCAGGACUGAAUCCUGCAGUAGAAGCAAGAACAGGCUAUUGGGAGACUCUGGUCCUCAACUGCACAAAGAAGGGCCCAUAUCCUCAACUCUGCCACAGACCUCUUUGAUUCCAGUUGGAAGCCUGGAGAUUUCACUGCUGCUGAGGAGGGUUCCAGGGACUGGGAAACCUGAGCUGUGAGCUGAGCUUGGGUGAUCUGUUUCCAUCUGUGGUCUGGUGCUGAUGGUUUCCAAGGCAGGAAUCAAGUCAGUCCUUGAAGAGCUACAACAGAGCAAAAGUGCAGCAGGUAAACAAAGCAACACGAAGGCUAAAUAAAAGUCAUUUCCCCAAGCAAAAUAAGGGUAGGGACCUUCAGAUGGACAGAUUAGCCUGGAUUAAGCAGAUGGAGAAGCCGAGGAUCAAGGAUCGGGCCAGGAGCCAAGGAAUACUGCCACCUCUAGAAGUUGGGAACGGCCCUCAGCUUACAGCCACUAAGAAAAGGGGGAUUUUGGCCCUCUAGCUGCAAGGAAUCUAAUUCCACUUGAAUUAACAAGGAACAUCCAGGCAGGAAUGUAGCCCUGACAACACCCUAAUUUAGGCCAGUCAGGCCCGGACAGACUUCUGACCCACGGAAUUCUAAAAUAAUUUGUGUUUCUUAAACCAUCAAAUUUGUUGUAAUUUGUUAUGGUAGCAACAGGAAUCAAAUAUACCUCUCUACUUUUACAAGAUAUUGUUGUCUGCAGCCUGUUUGAAGUCGGUGACUAAACACAGCUGGUUACUAUGGCAGGCCCAUUCUGAAGAGUUGCAGGACACCCUCGGGAGUACUUUGGUUUGAAGCCUCCUCAUCACCUCGGCUGCCGUUUCUGGGAUCUGGGUUGCAGUCUGAGGCUCAUUUUUCCAAUUCCCAAUACUUCCUACUGAUGAUAUUCUUGAGAGUCAGGCUUUAUCAAGAGAGAAAAAGGACUUUAAAAUUUUCAAACUCCUUUUUAAAUAUCAGAGAUUUUUUUGGCCUACUUUGAUUACAGGUCCUUACUUAUAAGUCUCUCCUUCCUAGGGAGAAAAUAGAAAGCUUUAAGAGACAGAUUACACUUUACCUGACAUUCAUUUUUGCAUGCCUUGUUAAACAUGAAAGAAUGUGUUAAGGCCAUUUUUUAUUGUUUAAUUUGUUGUUUUGACUUUGGGUGUGUGUGUUUGUGUCAAUUAUUUUUUAAUCUACUAGAACAUUCAUUAUCCUUUUUAUUUUGGAAAACAAGGGUGAGAAAGGUUACGUGAUCUGGAGGUAAAAAUACACCAUUAUGUAAAGUUGAAGUGUCAUCCCCUGAAUCCACAUUGCACAUCUAUAAAGUAGAAGAACUUGUCUUACUCCAGUGUUUAGUAUUCGUUAGGUUAAUGUUUUUCAAACAAGCUUGAUAGUAAGAAGCAUUUGAGACUUUUGUUUAAAAUACAUCCCCCUCUACCACUGAAAGUUUAAUUUGGUAAGUUUGUUUGGACAUACAGAUUCUGUAUUUCUAAGAAAUAUUUAGAUGGUUUUUAUCAGACUUGGAGGUCCUCUUAUUGAAAAUAAAAAAGUAGACAUGCUCACGAUGAAGUUUACCUUUUCUUUCUAUUCAUCUAUUUUAAAAAAUAUUUAUGAAAAAUGCUUGCCUGCUGCUUAGCUUGAUUUAAGAGAUAAACUGAUCAGACAGAAUGUCAAGCCAGCCAGCAUCUCCUGGUCUACACCAAAGCCUUUCCUACUUCUUUCAAACAGUGAAGGCACCAGGACAGAGU